GCGCCGUUAGCUCAGUCGGUAGAGCACGUGACUUUUAAUCACGGGGCCAAGGGUUCAAAUCCCUUACGGCGUACCA
RNAcentral lists this transfer RNA (76 nucleotides) under Clostridiales bacterium. RNAcentral describes it as "tRNA-Lys". It matches the Rfam family "tRNA". From Rfam's summary of the family: Transfer RNA (tRNA) molecules are approximately 80 nucleotides in length. Their secondary structure includes four short double-helical elements and three loops (D, anti-codon, and T loops). Further hydrogen bonds mediate the characteristic L-shaped molecular structure. tRNAs have two regions of fundamental functional importance: the anti-codon, which is responsible for specific mRNA codon recognition, and the 3' end, to which the tRNAs corresponding amino acid is attached (by aminoacyl-tRNA synthetases). tRNAs cope with the degeneracy of the genetic code in two manners: having more than one tRNA (with a specific anti-codon) for a particular amino acid; and 'wobble' base-pairing, i.e. permitting non-standard base-pairing at the 3rd anti-codon position. Lineage: Bacteria; Bacillati; Bacillota; Clostridia; Eubacteriales. The record is from RNAcentral.